This 103-nucleotide microRNA precursor is filed under the name Marmota monax (woodchuck). The record is from RNAcentral. Lineage: Eukaryota; Metazoa; Chordata; Mammalia; Rodentia; Sciuridae.
AGUGGGAUAACUGGGUCAAAUGGCAAUUCUAUUCCAAGUUUUCUGAGGAAUCUCCAUACUACUUUCUAGAGUGGUUACACCCAUUUCCAUUCCCACCAGCAAU